Molecule: long non-coding RNA, 1317 nt
Organism: Ficedula albicollis (Collared flycatcher)
Lineage: Eukaryota; Metazoa; Chordata; Aves; Passeriformes; Muscicapidae
Exons: 3
Source: RefSeq, a predicted model, not a curated record
CGGGGGGUGUGAGGAUCGCUGCUGUGGGUGGGGAUCGCACGCUGCGGCUCCGUGAGGGCCGCGCAGGUAACGCUGCUGCGGGGGGGCUCGGCAUCCACCGCCAUCCCUCCGGUUUUGUGGUGCUACAGCCAUCAAAAUCAACGAUUAGGUCCCUUUUAAUGAUUUUUUGGUGUACUAGACCCUUUCUGUCUAAUUAAAAAUUACACCCACAGCACUGGAGCUUUUGCGAUUUCAGUUUAAAAUUGCCCUGUUGGUAGAUGAAGUUUUGCAAGCUGCAUUACACUACUUUAAAUUUACAUCGCUCUGUAUUUUCUAAUUAAGAAUUAUUUAGAAGGAUUGCUGACUGCUAAUACCUGUCUGAUACAAAUAUUUCAGUGAUUCAUAUCAGCAUAAAUGCAGGUGAAAAUACAAGCAGAGUUGGUCAUGAGGGUCUGGUUAUUCCUUGUUUUUCCCUGUAAAAACCUACUUUAUACUGCUGAAGAGUAUUCUAGUAACACUUCUCUUGCUUUUACUCCCACAGCAGGAAGAUGUCUUGAAGUAAAAGGUAAGUUAAAGGUUUUUUUCCUUUAUAUGAAGGUGUGCAAAGUUGUUAAAAGGAGUUCUAGGCUUUACAAGUCAAAAAUAACCUGUAAAAAUUACAUCUCAAAUAAAAACCUCACUAAAACUAAAUUUGUGUCCGGAAAAGUUUAGAGUGAAUGCUUCAUGCACUGAGGGGGAGGUUGUACAACUGUUGGAGAUGAAAGCUAGUGUGUAAUUAGAGGAGUUAAUUAAGAGCUGUUGAUGAUGAUAACCCUGAAUAGGAAGUGCCGUCAGAUGCGAGAACUGACGAUACCCUGAUUCUGGUCUGAAAUGCAGCUACACACAGGGGCUUAAACCUUGAAAUUCAUCCUCCAAAAACCCACCACCCACCUUGCUCUCCAUGGAAACCUCUCACCUUUGUGUCCCUCUGUUCCCCUCCUCUGCAGAGCCUGCGAUGUGACACUGCAGCACUGGGAGCAGGUCAGAGCUGGCCCUGCUCUGAAGGUCAGUGAUGGGUUUCAGGAUUCCAUAGAAUUCUGCACCAGGGAGAGCCUGCAGGUCUCUGCUGGUUGUUGAUGUCCAGCCCCUGAUGUGAGAGCUCUUCACAAGUCCUGUGCAGGGCACUGAGAGCAGGAGAAUCUGCUGGGUGGUGCUGCUGGAAACAUCUCUGAGGCACAAGGACUCCAACAAAACACCUGAGCUUGAGGAUUUUGUGUAGACACGACAUUUUCCUGCCUGUUACAGAGUGCUAACAGUUAAAAGUGUUUCAUUAUGUGUACAAUAAAACAAUUAUUUUUA